GUCUCUGAUAUGCUAUUGAAACGACAACUAUGGUGGAAUUUUGGUUUCAGUUGGUCUUCGCUACAUGCUUUUGCUACGUGAGAUCUCUUAUACUCUUACUUCACUCGGUUUCAAGGUUGUUUCAAUGGAGGUUGGCUAGCAUGGCGGCAUUUGGAGUUCCCAAUGGUUGAGUGCGAUGAGGAAGCUUUGCUGUUCUGAAUCUAUUUCUUUGGAUUGGGGCUUUAUAUUAAGGUUUUCAGUUGGGUUACAAGGUUUGGGCUUGUCUUCUUGUCAACUAUUGGGUUGUGUGAUUAUUGGGACCUUUUU
This 306-nucleotide unclassified non-coding RNA is filed under the name Hevea brasiliensis (rubber tree). Lineage: Eukaryota; Viridiplantae; Streptophyta; Magnoliopsida; Malpighiales; Euphorbiaceae. The record is from RNAcentral.